This 496-nucleotide ribosomal RNA is filed under the name uncultured bacterium. RNAcentral describes it as "partial 16S ribosomal RNA". It matches the Rfam family "Bacterial small subunit ribosomal RNA", at positions 29 to 507 of the family's 1533-position model. The record is from RNAcentral.
AUGAACGCUGGCGGCGUGCCUAAUACAUGCAAGUCGAGCGAACAGACGAGGAGCUUGCUCCUCUGACGUUAGCGGCGGACGGGUGAGUAACACGUGGAUAACCUACCUAUAAGACUGGGAUAACUUCGGGAAACCGGAGAUAAUACCGGAUAACAUGUUGAACAGAAUGGUUUAACAGUGAAAGACGGUCUUGCUGUCACUUAUAGAUGGAUCCGCGCCGCAUUAGCUAGUUGGUAAGGUAAUGGCUUACCAAGGCAACGAUGCGUAGACGACCUGAGAGGGUGAUCGGCCACACUGGAACUGAGCCACGGUCCAGACUCCUACGGGAGGCAGCAGUAGGGAAUCUGCCGCAAUGGGCGAAAGCCUGACGGAGCAACGCCGCGUGAGUGAAGAAGGUCUUCGGAUCGUAAAACUCUGUUAUUAGGGAAGAACAAAUGUGUAAGUAACUAUGCACGUCUUGACGGUACCUAAUCAGAAAGCCACGGCUAACUACGUG